RNAcentral lists this ribosomal RNA (908 nucleotides) under uncultured bacterium. Its description in RNAcentral is "bacterial SSU rRNA". It matches the Rfam family "Bacterial small subunit ribosomal RNA", at positions 33 to 921 of the family's 1533-position model. The record is from RNAcentral.
ACGCUGGCGGCGUGCCUAAUACAUGCAAGUCAAACGAGAGCGACCGGUGCUUGCACUGGUCAAUCUAGUGGCGAACGGGUGAGUAACACGUGGGUAACCUGCCCAUCAGAGGGGGAUAACAUUCGGAAACGGAUGCUAAAACCGCAUAGGUCUUCGAACCGCAUGGUUUGAAGAGGAAAAGAGGCGCAAGCUUCUGCUGAUGGAUGGACCCGCGGUGCAUUAGCUAGUUGGUGAGGCAACGGCUCACCAAGGCCGUGAUGCAUAGCCGACCUGAGAGGGUGAUCGGCCACAUUGGGACUGAGACACGGCCCAAACUCCUACGGGAGGCAGCAGUAGGGAAUCUUCCGCAAUGGACGCAAGCCUGACGGAGCAACGCCGCGUGGGUGAAGAAGGUUUUCGGAUCGUAAAACUCUGUUGUUAGAGAAGAACAAGUGCUAGAGUAACUGUUCGCGCCUUGACGGUAUCUAACCAGAAAGCCACGGCUAACUACGUGCCAGCAGCCGCGGUAAUACGUAGGUGGCAAGCGUUGUCCGGAUUUAUUGGGCGUAAAGCGAGCGCAGGCGGUUCCUUAAGUCUGAUGUGAAAGUCCCCGGCUCAACCGGGGAGGGUCAUUGGAAACUGGGGAACUUGAGUGCAGAAGAGGAGAGUGGAAUUCCAUGUGUAGCGGUGAAAUGCGUAGAUAUAUGGAGGAACACCAGUGGCGAAGGCGACUCUCUGGUCUGUAACUGACGCUGAGGCUCGAAAGCGUGGGUAGCAAACAGGAUUAGAUACCCUGGUAGUCCACGCCGUAAACGAUGAGUGCUAAGUGUUGGAGGGUUUCCGCCCUUCAGUGCUGCAGUUAACGCAUUAAGCACUCCGCCUGGGGAGUACGACCGCAAGGUUGAAACUCAAAGGAAUUGACGGGGACC